This 253-nucleotide ribosomal RNA is filed under the name uncultured bacterium. RNAcentral's name for it is "partial 16S ribosomal RNA". It matches the Rfam family "Bacterial small subunit ribosomal RNA", at positions 524 to 776 of the family's 1533-position model. The record is from RNAcentral.
GACAGAGGGUGCAAACGUUGUUCGGAAUUACUGGGCGUAAAGCGUGUGUAGGCGGCUUUGCAAGUCGGAUGUGAAAGCCCCGGGCUCAACCCGGGAAGUGCACUCGAUACUGCAGAGCUUGAGUGUCGGAGAGGUUGGUGGAAUUCUCGGUGUAGAGGUGAAAUUCGUAGAUAUCGAGAGGAACACCGGUGGCGAAGGCGGCCAACUGGACGAACACUGACGCUGAGGAACGAAAGCUAGGGGAGCAAACAGG